AGUGAACGCUGGCGGUAGGCCUAACACAUGCAAGUCGAACGGCAGCACAGUAAGAGCUUGCUCUUACGGGUGGCGAGUGGCGGACGGGUGAGGAAUACAUCGGAAUCUACUUUUUCGUGGGGGAUAACGUAGGGAAACUUACGCUAAUACCGCAUACGACCUACGGGUGAAAGCAGGGGAUCUUCGGACCUUGCGCGAUUGAAUGAGCCGAUGUCGGAUUAGCUAGUUGGCGGGGUAAAGGCCCACCAAGGCGACGAUCCGUAGCUGGUCUGAGAGGAUGAGCGCCCGCACUGGAACUGGGCCCCGUUCCGGCCCCCUCGGGGAGCCACCGGUGGGAAAUUUUGGACAAUGGCCCCAGGCCUGACCCACCCCUCCGGCGUGGGUGAAGAGGGCUUUGGGUUUUUAAAGCCUUUUUGUGGGAAAAAAAAAGCAGCAGUUUAAUCCCCCGCUGUUUUGACGUUCCCCAAAAAAUAACCCCCGCCUACUUUCGUC
RNAcentral lists this ribosomal RNA (492 nucleotides) under uncultured bacterium. RNAcentral describes it as "partial 16S ribosomal RNA". It matches the Rfam family "Bacterial small subunit ribosomal RNA", at positions 29 to 507 of the family's 1533-position model. The record is from RNAcentral.